CCUAAGAGAUACGUGUUAUGUGAAGUGCUCACACAGAUUGUCUGAUGAAGAACGAGCAAAAACGCGUCUGCGAAGCUGACAAAAGUCCCCUUCGUCUAGAGGCCUAGGACACCGCCCUUUCACGGCGGUAACAGGGGUUCGAAUCCCCUAGGGGACGCCAAUGCGCAGUAUGAGUGAAAGGCGUACCACUUAUCUGACGAGAGUCAGAGAAUAACUAAGCUAAUUCAAAUGAGUUAUCUUACUUAUUAUGCUCUUUAACAAUCUGGAACAAGCUGAAAAAUUGAAAACAAAUCAAUAUAUCACCGAGGUAUAUUGAUGAGUCUCUCAAAAUCUCAAACCUUAAAGUUUGUCACGCAAAGUUUAUCUUUGAAAGAGACACUUUCGGGUUGUGA
RNAcentral lists this unclassified non-coding RNA (392 nucleotides) under Proteus mirabilis. RNAcentral's name for it is "partial 16S-23S ribosomal RNA intergenic spacer". The stretch from base 85 to 157 matches the Rfam family "tRNA". Lineage: Bacteria; Pseudomonadati; Pseudomonadota; Gammaproteobacteria; Enterobacterales; Morganellaceae. The record is from RNAcentral.